UGAGGAAUAUUGGUCAAUGGACGCAAGUCUGAACCAGCCAAGUAGCGUGCAGGAUGACGGCCCUAUGGGUUGUAAACUGCUUUUAUAUGGGGAUAAAGUGGGGAACGUGUUCCCGUUUGCAGUUACCAUAUGAAUAAGGAAAGCCUAAGUCCGUGCCAGCAGCCGCGGUAAUACGGAAGGUACGGGCGUUAUCCGGAUUUAUUGGGUUUAACGGGAGCGUAGGCCGUUUGGUAAGCGUGUUGUGAAAUGUAGGAGCUCAACUUCUAGAUUGCAGCUCGAAAUGUCAGACUUGAGUGCGCACAACGUAGGCGGAAUUCAUGGUGUAGCGGUGAAAUGCGUAGAUAUCAUGAAGAACUCCGAUUGCGAAGGCAGCUUACGGGAGCGCAACUGACGCUGAAGCACGAAGGUGCGGGUAUCGAACAGG
RNAcentral lists this ribosomal RNA (424 nucleotides) under Verrucomicrobiota bacterium. Its description in RNAcentral is "Verrucomicrobia bacterium partial 16S ribosomal RNA". It matches the Rfam family "Bacterial small subunit ribosomal RNA", at positions 355 to 776 of the family's 1533-position model. The record is from RNAcentral. Lineage: Bacteria; Pseudomonadati; Verrucomicrobiota.